GGCGGCGUGCUUAACACAUGCAAGUCGAACGCGAACGGUUUCUUCGGAGACCUAGUAGAGUGGCGCACGGGUGAGUAACGCGUAAGUUAUCUACCCUCCCAUCUGGAAUAACUCACCGAAAGGUGUGCUAAUACCGGAUACGUUGAUUUAUCAAGAAAGGUGGCCUCUAUUUAUAAGCUACCGUGGGGGGAUGAGCUUGCGUACCAUUAGCUAGUUGGUAGGGUAAUGGCCUACCAAGGCAACGAUGGUUAGCGGGUCUGAGAGGAUGAUCCGCCACACUGGAACUGGAACACGGACCAGACUCCUACGGGAGGCAGCAGUGAGGAAUAUUGCGCAAUGGGGGAAACCCUGACGCAGCGACGCCGCGUGGAUGAUGAAGGCCUUUGGGUCGUAAAAUCCUGUCAGAUGGAAAGAAAUGCUAUUGGUUUAAUAUGCCUUUAGUUUGACGGUACCCAUCAAAAGGAAGCACCGGCUACCUCCGUGCCAGCAGCCGCGGUAAUACGGAGGGUGCAAGCGUUGUUCGGAAUUACUGGGCGUAAAGCGCGCGUAGGUGGCUUUUUAAGUCAGAUGUGAAAGUCCACGGCUCAACCGUGGAAGUGCAUUUGAAACUGGAAAGCUUGAGUAUUGGAGGGGGUAGUGGAAUUCCCGGUGUAGAGGUGAAAUUCGUAGAUAUCGGGAGGAAUACCAGUGGCGAAGGCGACUACCUGGCCAAAUACUGACACUGAGGUGCGAAAGCGUGGGGAGCAAACAGGAUUAGAUACCCUGGUAGUCCACGCCGUAAACGAUGUCAACUAGGUGUUGGGGAGGUUAAUCUUCUCAUUGCCGCAGCUAACGCAUUAAGUUGACCGCCUGGGGAGUACGGUCGCAAGAUUAAAACUCAAAGGAAUUGACGGGGGCCCGCACAAGCGGAGGAGCAUGUGGUUUAAUUCGAUGAUACGCGAGGAACCUUACCUGGGCUUAAAUGCUUAAUGACUUACUGGGAAACCGGUAUUUCUUCGGACAUUUUGCAAGGUGCUGCAUGGUUGUCGUCAGCUCGUGCCGUGAGGUGUCGGGUUAAGUCCCAUAACGAGCGCAACCCCUAUCGUUAGUUGCCAUCAGGUCAUGCUGGGGACUCUAACGAAACUGCCCGCGUAAGCGUGGAGGAAGGUGGGGAUGACGUCAAAUCAGCACGGCCCUUACGUCCAGGGCUACACACGUGCUACAAUGGCUGAUACAGAGGGCAGCCACUUGGUGACAAGGAGCAAAUCUCAAAAGUCGGUCUCAGUUCGGAUCGGAGUCUGCAACUCGACUCCGUGAAGUUGGAUUCGCUAGUAAUCGUAGAUCAGCAAUGCUACGGUGAAUACGUUCCCGGGCCUUGUACACAUCGCCCGUCAAACAAUGGAAGCUGGGGGUACCUAAAGUCCGUAACCGUAAGGAGCGGCCUAGGGUAAAACUAGUAACUGGUGUUAAGUCGUAACAAGGUA
Molecule: ribosomal RNA, 1463 nt
Filed under: uncultured delta proteobacterium
Lineage: Bacteria; Deltaproteobacteria
Description: bacterial SSU rRNA
Rfam family: Bacterial small subunit ribosomal RNA
Source: RNAcentral